AACGGCCGCGGUAAACUAACCGUGCAAAGGUAGCAUAAUCACUUGUUCUUUAAAUAAGGACUCGUAUCAACGGCAUCACGAGGGUUACACUGUCUCCUUUCUCCAAUCAGUGAAACUGAUCUCCCCGUGAAGAAGCGGGGAUAUUAAUAUAAGACGAGAAGACCCCAUGGAGCUUUAAACCCACAGCAACUCAAUAACACAACCCCCUAAAAUUAUAGAUCCCUGCACGUCGGCUUUAGGUUGGGGCGACCACGGAGCAAAAACUAACCUCCAUGACGAAAAGGACUACACCUUUAUCCAAGAGUUACUACUCUAAGAAUUAGUAUACUAACGUAAAAUGACCCAAUUAAUGAUCAACGAACCAAGUUACCCUGGGGAUAACAGCGCAAUCUACUUCAAGAGCCCCUAUCGACAAGUAGGCUUACGACCUCGAUGUUGGAUCAGGGUACCCCAGUGGUGCAACCGCUACUAAAGGUUC
Molecule: ribosomal RNA, 478 nt
Filed under: Gracixalus gracilipes
Lineage: Eukaryota; Metazoa; Chordata; Amphibia; Anura; Rhacophoridae
Description: partial 16S ribosomal RNA
Rfam family: Bacterial large subunit ribosomal RNA
Source: RNAcentral